Molecule: transfer RNA, 71 nt
Organism: Camelus ferus (Wild Bactrian camel)
Lineage: Eukaryota; Metazoa; Chordata; Mammalia; Artiodactyla; Camelidae
Rfam family: tRNA
About the family: Transfer RNA (tRNA) molecules are approximately 80 nucleotides in length. Their secondary structure includes four short double-helical elements and three loops (D, anti-codon, and T loops).
Source: Rfam
GUGGGUAUGGCUUAGUGGUAGAGUGCAUGUUAGCAUGCGUGAGGUCCUGGGUUCAAUCCCCAGUACCUCCA